GCCUGAUCAUUUUGUAGCCACUUUACUCUCAAACCUUAUGUCUCUCCCUGGAAGUACUCUGUUCUUCACAAGUGGGUUCCCUCAAUUCCUUCCAUUUCACUGCUCCAGUGUUCUCUUUCAUACCAUGACCACAAUGUGUAAAUAUUUUGGUUUCUUGAUUGAUUUAUUGUCUGUUGACUUUAUUCCUCCACCAUCAAAGUAUGUUCAAAAAAAAAAAAAAAAAAAAAACAGUCCUUGCCUACUUAGUGGAUCCUUGUGCCUACCAGUGUUUUACACAAAGUGGGCAGCAAUAAUCAUUUCAUAAGUGAGGAAAUACCUGAAUGAGUGAAUGUUUCUGGGGAAACAGAAUAGCUCAAAUAGUUCUAAUGCUAGAAAUUAAGGGUUAAAUGUUCCCAGGGGGUGAGGGGGUCAUACUAAAUGGUGUGUCUGCAGAGAAUAAUGGGUUAAGAAGAUUGAAAAUGUAUUAGGGGCCUAAUAGAAUGUCACUGCAGAAAAAUAUGUCUGACCUGAAGCAAGGGAAUUGUGGGAUUUCCUAUGUAGAGAUGGGAGACAGGGUGCUCCAAGAGCAGAUGAUCUAAACAAACAUGCAAGGAUGGACUUGUAUGGAAUAAGCCAUGACCUCAUAGUAAACAGAGCAAAGGCCAAGUCCCAACUUCCCCUAAAUAGCUCUUGAUUUUGAAUUAUGUACUUAAUGAACAGUUCCAAGGGCUAUAUAAUUUCCAGGCCCAUUACCACCAUUAUUUUUUCCCGACUCUCAGUUUCCUUGGCUGCUAAGUGAGGAUAUUAAUUCAUGGUUCAGAGGUUUUUAUGAAAUAAUGGAUGUCAACGAACCUGGUUUUUAGCAGGUACUUUCAUUCAUAGUGAUUUUAGCUGAGUUUAGGUGACCUGAUAUAUUUGGAAAUGAGUUAUUUAAAGUCAAGGAGCAGAUCCAUUAUAAUACCAUGAUUAGAAUGGAUAAUCACACUUGAAGAAAAUGGACCAUCUGAUGAGUAAAUGUAGUUUAUUAAUAAAGUGGUGAAACUUACCUCUAGGGAGGUAAGUUCUAGUCUUAAUGUAACCUUAGGUUCUGGGAUGUGCUCAGAAAAGACAAAACACUCAAUUUUUCCAUGUCUUAGGAUCCUUCUUAAAAUUUUCAUUGUUACAAAGAUACCUAAAUGUGAACUUACUUUCUUCUUGAGGGUUUCAGUAAGGAAAGUGAAGAUCACGUCUCUCAAGAACAUUAAGCUUCAGUAGAAACGUGUCAUGUGAAGUAUUAUAAUGGAAGGGAUGUGAAAAGUAGGUGGGCCACUCAACCAUUUUCACCAUUCAAAGGUGUUCCUGCAAACCAUCUAUCUAGAUUAAAUAAUGAUUCCGGGGUUGACCAGUUCUCUGGAUGUCCCAAGGUCUGCCAUUGCGAGUUGUGGUGUUACUUAACAUGUACAUAGAGAAGAACAAAAUGGGAGGGAAUAUUUGAAUAGUGAGCUCCUAGAAAAUGGUAAAAACAGCCUAGAAG
RNAcentral lists this long non-coding RNA (1492 nucleotides) under Mus musculus (house mouse). RNAcentral's name for it is "long non-coding RNA chr12:89587714-89589206". The record is from RNAcentral. Lineage: Eukaryota; Metazoa; Chordata; Mammalia; Rodentia; Muridae.